AACACAGUGCUGCAUGGCUGUCGUCAGCUCGUGUCGUGAGAUGUUGGGUUAAGUCCCGCAACGAGCGCAACCCUUGUCAUUAGUUGCUACGAAAGGGCACUCUAAUGAGACUGCCGGUGACAAACCGGAGGAAGGUGGGGAUGACGUCAAGUCCUCAUGGCCCUUAUGGGUAGGGCUACACACGUCAUACAAUGGCCGGUACAAAGGGCAGCCAACCGCGAGGGGGAGCCAAUCCCGUAAAGCCGGUCGUAGUCCGGAUCGCAGUCUGCAACUCGACUGCGUGAAGUCGGAAUCGCUAGUAAUCGUGGAUCAGCAAUGUCACGGUGAAUACGUUCCCGGGUCUU
This 344-nucleotide ribosomal RNA is filed under the name uncultured Hydrogenophaga sp. Its description in RNAcentral is "bacterial SSU rRNA". It matches the Rfam family "Bacterial small subunit ribosomal RNA", at positions 1031 to 1382 of the family's 1533-position model. Lineage: Bacteria; Pseudomonadati; Pseudomonadota; Betaproteobacteria; Burkholderiales; Comamonadaceae. The record is from RNAcentral.